GAGCGGUAACAGGAGAAAGCUUGCUUUCUUGCUGACGAGCGGCGGACGGGUGAGUAAUGUAUGGGGAUCUGCCCGAUAGAGGGGGAUAACUACUGGAAACGGUGGCUAAUACCGCAUAAUGUCUACGGACCAAAGCAGGGGCUCUUCGGACCUUGCGCUAUCGGAUGAACCCAUAUGGGAUUAGCUAGUAGGUGGGGUAAAGGCUCACCUAGGCGACGAUCUCUAGCUGGUCUGAGAGGAUGAUCAGCCACACUGGGACUGAGACACGGCCCAGACUC
Molecule: ribosomal RNA, 278 nt
Filed under: uncultured bacterium
Lineage: Bacteria
Description: partial 16S ribosomal RNA
Rfam family: Bacterial small subunit ribosomal RNA
Source: RNAcentral